Molecule: ribosomal RNA, 450 nt
Filed under: uncultured bacterium
Lineage: Bacteria
Description: bacterial SSU rRNA
Rfam family: Bacterial small subunit ribosomal RNA
Source: RNAcentral
AGAGUUUGAUCCUGGCUCAGAACGAACGCUGGCGGCAGGCUUAACACAUGCAAGUCGAGCGCCCCGCAAGGGGAGCGGCAGACGGGUGAGUAACGCGUGGGAACAUACCCUUUGGUUCGGAAUAACUCAGGGAAACUUGAGCUAAUACCGGAUACGUCCGUAAGGAGAAAGAUUUAUCGCCAAAGGAUUGACCCGCGUCCGAUUAGCUAGUUGGUGAGGUAACGGCUCACCAAGGCUACGAUCGGUAGCUGGUCUGAGAGGAUGAUCAGCCACAUUGGGACUGAGACACGGCCCAAACUCCUACGGGAGGCAGCAGUGGGAAUAUUGGACAAUGGGCGCAAGCCUGAUCCAGCCAUGCCGCGUGAGUGAUGAAGGCCUUAGGGUUGUAAAGCUCUUUUGUCCGGGAAGAUAAUGACUGUACCGGAAGAAUAAGCCCCGGCUAACUUCGUG